GACGGUUUGAGGUCAUAAACUAACAAUUAGCAUUCAACAACAUAAACUAAUGAAAACAUCUAGGAAGAUAUAGAACCCUAAAUCGAUUUAAAAUUAAAGAUUACACUGAUUAAUCUCUUCCAUAUUAUCUGAAGAUGAUUAAAUUAUGAGAAAUAACUGUUAUUCUAACGUAAGAUCAAAUAAUUCCACUGAAUUUGAUUGUAAUUAGGGUUGUCAAUUACUUCAUCAACUGCCAAAAACGAACCACGCACAUGAACAAUAUUGGCUUAUGCGAGUCAUUAGACUCAUUACACAAACGUUGGUCCCGAAAAUGAAAUAUGGUUGUGAUUUCUACAACCACCACAACAGUGUUAGAAAGCUCAAAACCAGCUAGCCAGUUUCUAUCAUACUUCAAUCUGUUUUUCUUCUCCAAGGAGUGGUCGACGAUGAUCGAUCUUCCUAAAGCUAGGGACGAUAUACAAUCCAAUGACCAACCUACCCUUUUUCGACCAAAACAUCCUUAUCAAAA
Molecule: long non-coding RNA, 508 nt
Filed under: Fragaria vesca (wild strawberry)
Lineage: Eukaryota; Viridiplantae; Streptophyta; Magnoliopsida; Rosales; Rosaceae
Description: long non-coding RNA (FVES_LNC003527)
Source: RNAcentral